Molecule: long non-coding RNA, 2073 nt
Organism: Accipiter nisus (Eurasian sparrowhawk)
Lineage: Eukaryota; Metazoa; Chordata; Aves; Accipitriformes; Accipitridae
Source: Ensembl
AUGAGCUGCCCGGCCUCAGCUGCUGCCCCCACUCCACGUCCCCGCCCCGGUCCCCCCCUCCACGCCGUGGCGCCAGCCGGGCUCCGCUGGCCCGUGACUCAUGUGACGCUCACGGGAUGUGACAGGGACGGGGAUGGGGGGGCGGCGGGACCCGCGGGCGCUGGCAGCGGCUGCUCUGCUGUGGCCUCGCACACGCGCCCUGGCCUUGCACAGCCCCCCCCCCCCUUGCACAGUGCUGCUUGCACACCCCCCCGGCUUUGCAGUGACACCCUCCCCUCUUUGCACAAGCCCCCUGCCCUUGCACAGGGCCCCCCAUUGCAUGGUCUGACCCCCCCCCGGCACGGCACAGCUCCCCCCACCGCACACUCGCCACAUCCCCCCACCUUUGCAGUGGCUCUGGGCACCCUGGCAUGGGGGGAUGACGGGUUGGGGGGACCAGGGGCACCCCCAGCCCCAGUGCCAGGUCCGGGUGGGUAUGGGGGGUGGUCGGUGCUGGGGGGGGGGGUGUCACACCCUGUCCUCCAUCUGCUGUUGCGCCUCGGUCGCCAUGGCAACCGCUGCAACCCACCCCAGGGAUGCGGUUGCCGUGGCGAUCACAGCACUCGGCUGCACCGUGUCCCUCCCGGGUGGCGGCACCCGUGGGUGCUGGGGGGGAGGAUGGGGUGGAGAAGGGGACCCGGGCACCCCAUGCGGGCCACGCAGACACGGGACGGGAGGGGGGAACACAGGACACACGGACACAGACACGCCGCUACCCACUGCGUUGCUCACCCCCGGCACGUGCACGCAUGCGCAGCCCCCCGCGCCCCCCCCCCGCACACGCACACUCGUGCCUACACCCGUAAACAUCCCCCCCCACGCAGACACCUGCACACACAGACACCCACCCACACCCCGCACCCGCGCGCACCCACACCCUCACACCCCCCCCCCCCCCCCCCCCGCCCCCCCCCCCCCCCCCGCGCACACACGCGUGUCCCAGCCGUGUCCGGCCCCUUUAAGGCAGCCGAUGACUCAGCCCUUGGCCCGGACGCCCGGGUCCUUCCGGGCGGGGGGUGUGGGGGUGUGGGGAGACACCCACCCCCCCACCGCCCCACGCCGUGGCCGUCUGCCCGUUCCCAAGCCCGGCGGGUCCGGCCCGGACGCCUGGGUCCCCCUGCGCCACCCCCCUCCGCGGCCCCGGGGGGGGAAUGCCCAGGACCCCCCACCCCCCCGCGGGACCCCCCCAUUCACGCUUCCCAUGCAAAGCGCCUCAUGAAUAUGCACGAGGGGCGUGGUCCCACGGGGGCCCAUUCACGCGGGCGGGCGGGCGGGCGGGGGGCGGCGGCGGCGGCGGGGGGGGGGCGCCUAAUCCCGCCGCGGGGGGGGGGGGGGGGGGGCAGGACAUGGCGCGGGGGGGGCAGGACACGGGUGGGCCGGUUCCUUCCCGCCUUUGUCUCUCCCGCUCCGGCCAGGUGCGGGGGGGGGGGAGGGUGGAGUGGGGGGGCUCCUCCAAUCACUGUGUGUCCCCCCCGUGAUUUUAGGGUGGGUGGCGAUAGCGGGAAGGGGAGGAGGGUCGUCCCCCCCCCCCGCAGCCCGGGGGACAAGAGGCCUUUGUGCCACGGGGAGCAGCGCAGCGCUGGCCCGGCCGGGGCCACCCCCACCCCUCUCAGCCCCCCCUCCGGAAACCGAGUCACGGCCCGGCCCCACAGACAGCGCCCUGUGGGCAUCGUCCUGCUGCGUGGGCACCGGCGCCAUCCUGACCCGGGGGGGGGGGUCCCACCCGUGACGGGGGGGUCCCGUCCUGCUCACGGCUGGAGCAGCAUCCCCCGGGGCCGCACAUCCCACAUCUGGAGCACAUCUGGAGGCGCCCCGCCCCGUGCCUCAAUUUCCCCACGCGGGGCCAUGCAAACGCUCCGUGGGCCGAAGUACGGGGCGAGGGGGUGGGUGGGUGGGUCGAUGAUGAGUCGUGGCCCCCCCCAGCCCUCCCCGUCCCGGGGCCGCGGGGCGGAAGAGGAGGCUCUGCUGCCACCACGGCCCAGUUUGGCCCCAGUUUGGCCCCAGUUGGGCCCAGCCUGGCCCUGGGGCGCGUGA